Non-coding RNA from Pristionchus pacificus, 61 nucleotides. The record is from Rfam. Lineage: Eukaryota; Metazoa; Nematoda; Chromadorea; Rhabditida; Neodiplogasteridae.
UCUUCAUUUCACGUGUUCUCUCACCGGUCAGAGCGACGAGAGAGUGUGUGAAAUGAAGAGA